This 1619-nucleotide ribosomal RNA is filed under the name Xenorhabdus nematophila F1. RNAcentral describes it as "bacterial LSU rRNA". It matches the Rfam family "Bacterial large subunit ribosomal RNA", at positions 1225 to 2823 of the family's 2925-position model. Lineage: Bacteria; Pseudomonadati; Pseudomonadota; Gammaproteobacteria; Enterobacterales; Morganellaceae. The record is from RNAcentral.
UGGGUAGGGGAGCGUUCUGUAAGCCGCAGAAGGUGGCCUGUGAGGGCUGCUGGAGGUAUCAGAAGUGCGAAUGCUGACAUAAGUAACGAUAAAGCGGGUGAAAAACCCGCUCGCCGGAAGACCAAGGGUUCCUGUCCAACGUUAAUCGGGGCAGGGUGAGUCGACCCCUAAGGCGAGGCCGACAGGCGUAGUCGAUGGGCAACAGGUUAAUAUUCCUGUACCCGGUGUGACUGCGAAGGGGGGACGGAGAAGGCCAGGCCAGCCGGGCGACGGUCGUCCCGGUUGAAGCGUGUAGGUGGGUGGUUUUGGAAAAUCCGGACCGCUGAUAACACUGAGGCGUGAUAACGAGGCACUACGGUGCUGAAGUGGUUGAUGCCCUGCUUCCAGGAAAAGCCUCUAAGCAUCAGGUCACAUUGGAUCGUACCCCAAACCGACACAGGUGGUCAGGUAGAGAAUACUCAGGCGCUUGAGAGAACUCGGGUGAAGGAACUAGGCAAAAUGGUGCCGUAACUUCGGGAGAAGGCACGCUGGCGCCAGGUGAAGGAACGAGCUUCCGGAGCCGAGGCCAGUCGCAGAUACCAGCUGGCUGCAACUGUUUAAUAAAAACACAGCACUGUGCAAACACGUAAGUGGACGUAUACGGUGUGACGCCUGCCCGGUGCUGGAAGGUUAAUUGAUGGGGUUAUCGCGUUGCGAGAAGCUCUUGAUCGAAGCCCCAGUAAACGGCGGCCGUAACUAUAACGGUCCUAAGGUAGCGAAAUUCCUUGUCGGGUAAGUUCCGACCUGCACGAAUGGCGUAAUGAUGGCCAGGCUGUCUCCACCCGAGACUCAGUGAAAUUGAACUCGCUGUGAAGAUGCAGUGUACCCGCGGCAAGACGGAAAGACCCCGUGAACCUUUACUAUAGCUUGACACUGAACCUUGAGCCUUGAUGUGUAGGAUAGGUGGGAGGCCUGGAAGUGCGGACGCCAGUCUGCACGGAGCCAACCUUGAAAUACCACCCUUGAAUGUUUGAUGUUCUAACGCAGGCCCGUGAUCCGGGUUGCGGACAGUGUCUGGUGGGUAGUUUGACUGGGGCGGUCUCCUCCCAAAGCGUAACGGAGGAGCACGAAGGUUAGCUAAUCACGGUCGGACAUCGUGAGGUUAGUGCAAUGGCAUAAGCUGGCUUGACUGCGAGAGUGACAGCUCGAGCAGGUGCGAAAGCAGGUCAUAGUGAUCCGGUGGUUCUGCAUGGAAGGGCCAUCGCUCAACGGAUAAAAGGUACUCCGGGGAUAACAGGCUGAUACCGCCCAAGAGUUCAUAUCGACGGCGGUGUUUGGCACCUCGAUGUCGGCUCAUCACAUCCUGGGGCUGAAGCAGGUCCCAAGGGUACGGCUGUUCGCCGUUUAAAGUGGUACGCGAGCUGGGUUUAGAACGUCGUGAGACAGUUCGGUCCCUAUCUGCCGUGGGCGCUGGAAGAUUGAAAGGGGCUGCUCCUAGUACGAGAGGACCGGAGUGGACGCACCACUGGUGUUCGGGUUGUCAUGCCAAUGGCACUGCCCGGUAGCUACGUGCGGAAGAGAUAACCGCUGAAAGCAUCUAAGCGGGAAACUUGCCUUGAGAUGAGUCUUCCCUUGUCCUU